Molecule: unclassified non-coding RNA, 148 nt
Filed under: soil metagenome
Description: partial internal transcribed spacer 1
Source: RNAcentral
CUGGAAUCGCAAGAUCCCACAACCCCUGUGAACCUACCGAAACGUUGCCUCGGCGGGUGCCCGGCCCUGCGCCGGGCGCUGCGCCCGCCGGCGGCCCCCUACUCUUGUCUCUGCGGCGUGGCAUCUCAGAGUCCCAGAAAACAAGUCA